UUCACACAUAUCCACUCACUCACAUAUGUUAUGUGACAAAUCACUGUAUAAUAAAACACAACAAUGGUUGAAUCCAAAUUGUUUUACAAUUAUUAUAAUUAUAUGUUUUAUAAUUAAAAAAAUCAAAUUCUGGUGCCACUCCCAAUCUUGUCUGUCGAUUGUAAAUUUGAGGUAGGUUUUGUUUUUUUAUCUCUCCUAAGUGGGAGUAGGUUAUUCUAUUUUGAAUUCGUGUUUCGCUUUUGAAUUAUAUUAUGGUUGCGCUUUUGAUUUCGCGUUUCGUUUUUCAGGUUGGAUAUUAAUAUUUGAAAUGGUUAUGAACUAGAACAUUAGAGUAUGGUAUGUUGGGUUACAUGUUUAAAUGAAAACGGUUUUGAAAUGUUAUGACGCUAAUUAGGGCGAACAUGGAUUGUAUGGAUUAGCGGUGUCAAAGAAUGUAAAUUUUAUUAGGCGUGUCAAAGAAUUAUUAUGCUUAAGAAUAAGAUAUUAAAACUAAGAUGUAUAGGGAGAGAAAGAAAGAAAGACAUGGUGAGACAUCCCUUGUUUGAGACAUGGGAAUUUAGAUGAAUUCUAUUCUUCUUUAAAAGACCUCCAAUAGUAAGUCACCUUCUGCACCUAUCCUCCCCUUCAAAUUUUCCCUUUCAAUAUAUUAAUUAUUUAAAUAUAUGGAAUUUUGAGCAAUGUUACCUAAACUAUUUAGAUGUAUAAUUACUUCUUUUUCUUCUGACUAAAAUCAUGCUGAUAACGAGUAUCCUUGUUUUUUGAUGUUGCAAAAGUACAAGAUAGGCUAUAAUAUACGACUUUAUACAAGGAAAACUUUAUCUCUAAAGGUUAAG
This 833-nucleotide long non-coding RNA is filed under the name Vigna radiata. RNAcentral describes it as "long non-coding RNA (VRAD_LNC018087)". Lineage: Eukaryota; Viridiplantae; Streptophyta; Magnoliopsida; Fabales; Fabaceae. The record is from RNAcentral.